This 366-nucleotide long non-coding RNA is filed under the name Nicotiana benthamiana. RNAcentral's name for it is "long non-coding RNA (NBEN_LNC034579)". Lineage: Eukaryota; Viridiplantae; Streptophyta; Magnoliopsida; Solanales; Solanaceae. The record is from RNAcentral.
UAACCACUAAUGCUUGUAUCGGGUAGGCUUAGGAGCGGAUGUAAUGUUAUACCAAUGGGUUCAAUUGAAUCCAUGACUUUCGAUUAUAGUAAAAAUUUAUAUGCAAAAAUUCAUUACAACAACAACAAUAACCUAGUAUAAUCCCACUUAAUGAGAUUUGGGGAUGGUAGUGUGUACGCGAACUUUACCCCUACCCUAGGGUAGAGAGGUUGUUUCCAAAUAUGCAAAAAUUCAUUAAAAUUGGGUAGUGUGUAUGCGAACUUUACCCCUACCCUAGGGUAGAGAGGUUGUUUCCAAAUAUGCAAAAUUUCAUUAAAAUUGCAAAGAUAGUAGAUAUAAACUCAUAACUUUAAAAAUAUAAUGGGU